AUUCAACGCUGGCGGCAGGCCUAACACAUGCAAGUCGGGCGGAUGAAGGGAGCUUGCUCCUGGAUUCAGCGGCGGACGGGUGAGUAAUGCCUAGGAAUCUGCCUGGUAGUGGGGGAUAACGUCCGGAAACGGGCGCUAAUACCGCAUACGUCCUGAGGGAGAAAGUGGGGGAUCUUCGGACCUCACGCUAUCAGAUGAGCCUAGGUCGGAUUAGCUAGUUGGUGGGGUAAAGGCCUACCAAGGCGACGAUCCGUAACUGGUCUGAGAGGAUGAUCAGUCACACUGGAACUGAGACACGGUCCAGACUCCUACGGGAGGCAGCAGUGGGGAAUAUUGGACAAUGGGCGAAAGCCUGAUCCAGCCAUGCCGCGUGUGUGAAGAAGGUCUUCGGAUUGUAAAGCACUUUAAGUUGGGAGGAAGGGCAGUAAGUUAAUACCUUGCUGUUUUGACGUUACCAACAGAAUAAGCACCGGCUAACUUCGUG
RNAcentral lists this ribosomal RNA (484 nucleotides) under uncultured bacterium. RNAcentral's name for it is "partial 16S ribosomal RNA". It matches the Rfam family "Bacterial small subunit ribosomal RNA", at positions 32 to 507 of the family's 1533-position model. The record is from RNAcentral.